AGGGGACCUUCGGGCCUUUCGCUAACAGAUGAGCCUGCGUUGGAUUAGCUAGUUGGUGGGGUAAGGGCCCACCAAGGCGACGAUCCAUAGCUGGUCUGAGAGGACGAUCAGCCACACUGGGACUGAGACACGGCCCAGACUCCUACGGGAGGCAGCAGUGGGGAAUAUUGGACAAUGGGCGCAAGCCUGAUCCAGCAAUACCGCGUGUGUGAAGAAGGCCCUAGGGUUGUAAAGCACUUUCAAUUGGGAGGAAAACCCACCGGCCAAUACCCGGUGGCUUGACAUUACCUUUAGAAGAAGCACCGGCUAACUCCGUGCCAGCAGCCGCGGUAAUACGGAGGGUGCGAGCGUUAAUCGGAAUUACUGGGCGUAAAGCGUGCGUAGGCGGCCCGUUAAGUCAGAUGUGAAAGCCCCGGGCUCAACCUGGGAACUGCAUUUGAAACUGGCGGGCUAGGGUUUGGUAGAGGGGAGCGGAAUUUCAGGUGUAGCGGUGAAAUGCGUAGAUAUCUGAAGGAACACCAGUGGCGAA
Molecule: ribosomal RNA, 529 nt
Filed under: uncultured bacterium
Lineage: Bacteria
Description: bacterial SSU rRNA
Rfam family: Bacterial small subunit ribosomal RNA
Source: RNAcentral